UACGUAGGAGGCGAGCGUUGUCCGGAAUUACUGGGCGUAAAGCGCGCGUAGGCGGUCUGUCGCGUCGGCGGUGAAAGCCCUCGGCUCACCUGGGGGAGGUCCGCCGAAACGGACAGACUGGAGGGCGGUAGGGGCUGGCGGAACGCCCGGAGUAGCGGUGAAAUGCGUUGAGAUCGGGCAGAACACCAGUGGCGAAGGCGGCCGGCUGGGCCGACCCUGACGCUGAGGCGCGAAAGCCAGGGGAGCGAACGGAAUUAGAUACUCCGGUAGUCCUGGCCCUAAACGAUGGCAACUAGGUGUGGGGGGUAUCGACCCCUUCCGUGCCGCAGCACACGCGAUAAGUUGCCCGCCUGGGGAGUACGGCCGCAAGGCUAAA
RNAcentral lists this ribosomal RNA (376 nucleotides) under uncultured bacterium. RNAcentral's name for it is "bacterial SSU rRNA". It matches the Rfam family "Bacterial small subunit ribosomal RNA", at positions 524 to 898 of the family's 1533-position model. The record is from RNAcentral.